UGGAAGAGAAAUAGUGGAUCUAGGGUAAGCGGUAAAUGCGUAGAUAUAGACGUACACAGUGGCGAUGCGACUAUCUCGACAGGUACUGACGCUGAAGCGCGAAAGCGUGGGGAGCAAACAGGAUUAGAUACCCUGUAGUCAGCCGUAAACGAUGAAUACUAGUGUAGGGGUAUCGACUCCCCCUGUGCGCAGCUAACGCAAUAAGUAUCCACCUGGGGAGUACGGCGCAAGGGUGAAACUC
Molecule: ribosomal RNA, 241 nt
Filed under: uncultured bacterium
Lineage: Bacteria
Description: partial 16S ribosomal RNA
Rfam family: Bacterial small subunit ribosomal RNA
Source: RNAcentral